RNAcentral lists this long non-coding RNA (749 nucleotides) under Elaeis guineensis (African oil palm). RNAcentral describes it as "long non-coding RNA (EGUI_LNC051782)". The record is from RNAcentral. Lineage: Eukaryota; Viridiplantae; Streptophyta; Magnoliopsida; Arecales; Arecaceae.
UGGGCAUAUCGAAUAACUCCUCGCAUACCAACAGGAAAAUCAUCAUUUAAUCUGGCUUAUGGAACAAAAGCGAUGAUCUCACUUGAGAUCAGAUUACCAUCAGUAAGGGUGGAACAAUACAAUGAGCCGAGCAAUUCAGAAUGUCGGAGAGUCGAUUUAGACCUACUUUCAGAAGUCUGACAGCAAGCUCAAAUUUGGAUGACAGAAUAUCGGUAAAGAGUAGCCCGAUAUUAUAAUUCAAAAGUUAAGUCGAAGGUCUUCCAUCCGAUAGACCUAGUCCAAAGAAAGGUAGAAGUUUCAAAAUCUUUAGAUCAAAAAAAAUUAUCUCUGAAUUGGGAAGGACCUUACAGAAUAAUUGAGAUACUUAGAUCAGAUGCAUAUCGACUCGACUGGAAACCCUUGAGGGAAUAGCUAUUCCACGAAUGUAGAAUGCUGACAACUUAAAGAUGUAUUAUCAAUAAAGUUAUUCAUGUGUACAGUUUUCAGAAUGAAACAUUUAAUUUCAUAAUCAUAAAAGUUUCAGCCAACUACAAAGUGAUAAAUAGAUGAUUAAUUUUUAUCGACUAUAUUUCAAUUUUUCACUGUAAAAAUCGACACAUCGACUAUAUCUUGAUUUUCACUGUAAAAUUCGAUAUACCGACUGUAUCUCGAUAUCGACUAUAUCUCGAUUUUUUACUGUAAAAGCUGAUUGAACGACUAUUUAUACUGAUUUAGUUUUAACUAAGUAGAAUACUAUGCCAAUAUGAUUC